UACAGAGACUGCAAGCGUUAUUCGGAUUCACUGGGCGUAAAGGGUGCGCAGGCGGCUAUGUGUGUGAGGCGUGAAAGCCCGGGGCUUAACCCCGGAAUUGCACCUCAAACUACAUGGCUAGAGCAUUGGAGAGGGUAGCGGAAUUUACGGUGUAGCAGUGAAAUGCGUAGAUAUCGUGAGGAACACCAGCGGCGAAGGCGGCUACCUGGACAAUUGCUGACGCUCAGGCACGAAAGCGUGGGGAGCAAAAGGG
This 253-nucleotide ribosomal RNA is filed under the name uncultured bacterium. Its description in RNAcentral is "partial 16S ribosomal RNA". It matches the Rfam family "Bacterial small subunit ribosomal RNA", at positions 524 to 776 of the family's 1533-position model. The record is from RNAcentral.